GGCUCAGAUUGAACGCUAGCGGGAUGCCUUACACAUGCAAGUCGAACGGCAGCACGGACUUCGGUCUGGUGGCGAGUGGCGAACGGGUGAGUAAUGUAUCGGAACGUGCCUAGUAGCGGGGGAUAACUACGCGAAAGCGUAGCUAAUACCGCAUACGCCCUACGGGGGAAAGCAGGGGAUCGCAAGACCUUGCACUAUUAGAGCGGCCGAUAUCGGAUUAGCUAGUUGGUGGGGUAACGGCUCACCAAGGCGACGAUCCGUAGCUGGUUUGAGAGGACGACCAGCCACACUGGGACUGAGACACGGCCCAGACUCCUACGGGAGGCAGCAGUGGGGAAUUUUGGACAAUGGGGGAAACCCUGAUCCAGCCAUCCCGCGUGUGCGAUGAAGGCCUUCGGGUUGUAAAGCACUUUUGGCAGGAAAGAAACGUCAUGGGUUAAUACCCCGUGAAACUGACGGUACCUGCAGAAUAAGCACCGGCUAACUACGUGCCAGCAGCCGCGGUAAUACGUAGGGUGCAAGCGUUAAUCGGAAUUACUGGGCGUAAAGCGUGCGCAGGCGGUUCGGAAAGAAAGAUGUGAAAUCCCAGAGCUUAACUUUGGAACUGCAUUUUUAACUACCGAGCUAGAGUGUGUCAGAGGGAGGUGGAAUUCCGCGUGUAGCAGUGAAAUGCGUAGAUAUGCGGAGGAACACCGAUGGCGAAGGCAGCCUCCUGGGAUAACACU
RNAcentral lists this ribosomal RNA (725 nucleotides) under Achromobacter sp. 110609_136_C_E4. Its description in RNAcentral is "bacterial SSU rRNA". It matches the Rfam family "Bacterial small subunit ribosomal RNA", at positions 21 to 741 of the family's 1533-position model. Lineage: Bacteria; Pseudomonadati; Pseudomonadota; Betaproteobacteria; Burkholderiales; Alcaligenaceae. The record is from RNAcentral.